UUAACCCAACUCAAAAACCGCCGUUUUAACCAGGUAAUUGUGGCGGUUUUUCGAAAACCGCCGUAAUAACCAAAUGGCGCUUCAAAUUAUGGCGGUUUUUCUUGAGCGCCAUUCAAGGUAAUAAUGGCGGUUCAAACCGCCGUAAUAACCCUAAAAAACCGCCGUAAUUACCAAGUUUUUUUGUAGUGUCUCCGGUCUUUCUUCUCCAGGAAAUUAUUAACAUUGAUGAUAAUAUAACUUUUUUUUAAACAUUUCUUAUAUUCUUUUGAGCUAAUUUAUAUUUAAUAUUCUUUUGAUUUUAAACUAUUCUUUUAUUGUGAUGACAACCAAUUAGUUAUUCGAAUUUCAUUUGUUGACCAUACCAUACAUUGAGUUUCUGACAACAUGGAUAGCCUCAACUCUUACUAUCAAGGACGAUACUUUUAUAUGGAGGUCAACCCCAACUUAGAGAUGGGUGAAAUUCCUUCGACAUUCUAUAGGAGAUUUAAGGAUGCACUACCAAACUUGAUGACAUUUUAUGAUUCUACUAGCAAUGAAGUUGAUGUGGUCAUUGAGAAGUUCAUUGAACUGCUAUAAUUGUUACCGGCUACAAUAACCUUGCCGCGAUUUAUGGCCUCAAAGAAUGGAAGUUGGUUGAGUGUCUGCUACGUUGGCCAAGACAAAUUCCUCAUUGUUGAAGUGAAGGACCACAACAUGCGAACCAAAGAGCUGUGCACCCACCGUUGAAGCUGAGUGUGGACAUCAAAUCAUCAAUACCUGUUUCGGGGAAUCAUAGAACUAUCUGAUGAUGAGACUAAUGCGACUCCGCGGCUUGAAACUUCUGAACCUAUCCAAGUUUCACAUAUAGUAUACCAAUAACCUGAUGUAGCUAUGGAUAAUUCCAAGUGGGAUGAUGCCAUUGACCAACUCCAACAUCUUCCAGAAUCUGUGUUGAAUCUAUUGACCUGCAUUGACCCUUCCACAUAUUAUGGUCUCGAACCUUACUUUAAUAACUUGGAACCCAUUGUCAACAACGAGGAUCAACAUGACCAAUUGGAUCCAACAAGACCAUUAAUUUUGCUUCCUGCAUUCCUGGCAUCUCCAUUUUUAGAUGUCCCACAGACAAAAAAUAUAUCCUCUGCAGUGACCAAGGAAACAGGUGAUAAUUGUAACAUUAGUGCUGAUAUUGUUUCAACUAAAAAUGCAGGGUUUCCAAAUGGUCACAGCCCUCCACCACCGAAUCCUAACAAUGGCCUUUCGCCACCAUGUUUUCCAAUCAUGCAAGACUUUUAUUCGGUUGUCAGGGUGAUAUCUGAGUACUAGUCAAAACACUAUUCUAUGCUACUUUCAUAUGCUUUCUCUUUGCUUGCGUUUCCUUCGAGGCCUGAUUUUGUUCGCGUUAGAGGGUUACACAAGCCACCAAUCAUCAUGAAACUUCGAUGGAGGAGCCUUAAGUCAUCAGAAGCCUUUCUUACCAGGGGUUGGAGAAAAUUUUCAGUCGACCAUGACCUAAAGUGUGGAAGUGUAGUUCGUUUCUGCAUUCCCAUUAAUAAAAAAAUUAAAAGUAUUUUAAUCAACCAAUUAUGUGAAAUUGAAUUUAGCAAGUACAUAUGCAGCAUGAUAAGAAUCGUAAGAAUUUUUGUUAUUUCAAUGUACAAUAAACUGAUGAUUUUUGCAUCGAGGAU
Arachis ipaensis is the source of this 1664-nucleotide non-coding RNA. NCBI's taxonomy places the organism in Eukaryota, Viridiplantae, Streptophyta, Magnoliopsida, Fabales, Fabaceae. The record is from RefSeq and is a predicted model, not a curated record.